CAGUAGCGUAUAUUAAAGUUGUUGCAGUUAAAAUGCUCGUAGUUGAAGUUCGGAUGCAGCAGAGCUUGGAAACGCUGUUAUGGUGCUUCCGUUGCUUUUGCUUGUCCACAGUGCGUUGCAAGUACGUAUGUGCUUGUGCGUGCAUUUUAUUUUGAGAAACAUAGGGUGUUCCACGCAUGUUACGGCAUGAAUAUUCCAGCAUGGGAUAAUCUGGUACGACUUCCAAUCUGCCAUUUUGGUUCGUAGGUUGGAAGUAAUGAUUAAUAGGGACUGUCGGGGGCAUUGGUAUUUGACUGUCAGAGGUGAAAUUCUUAGAUUCGUUGAGGACCAACCACUGCGAAAGCAUUUGUCAAGGAUGUCUCCAUUAA
Molecule: ribosomal RNA, 368 nt
Filed under: uncultured eukaryote
Lineage: Eukaryota
Description: partial 18S ribosomal RNA
Rfam family: Eukaryotic small subunit ribosomal RNA
Source: RNAcentral